ACGAUGGUGGUUCAAGGAAAAGGAGUGGUGGAGGAGAGGAGGAAAAAUAAUACAAAUGGUGGUUGAUGGCUAAAAAAAAGAAAAAAAUGGGAAAAUACGGAGGAGCAAAAGAGUGGGUGGUAAAAAUGAAUAGGAAAAUAAAAGAUGAACAAAAUGUUGUCAUUCAUCUUGUCCAGGUUCAAUGUAUGUCACACAAGGUAUGGGUGGAAAAAUAGGAAUGUUGAGGGGACAAAGGAGCAAAAGGGGUAUCAUGGGAGUGAAAAAGGGGCUAUUG
This 274-nucleotide long non-coding RNA is filed under the name Gossypium raimondii (Peruvian cotton). RNAcentral describes it as "long non-coding RNA (GRAI_LNC008246)". Lineage: Eukaryota; Viridiplantae; Streptophyta; Magnoliopsida; Malvales; Malvaceae. The record is from RNAcentral.